GACGAACGCUGGCGGCGUGCUUAACACAUGCAAGUCGAACGGAAAGGCCCUGCUUUUGUGGGUGCUCGAGUGGCGAACGGGUGAGUAACACGUGAGUAACCUGCCCUUGACUUUGGGAUAACUUCAGGAAACUGGGGCUAAUACCGGAUAGGAGCUCCUGCUGCAUGGUGGGGGUUGGAAAGUUUCGGCGGUUGGGGAUGGACUCGCGGCUUAUCAGCUUGUUGGUGGGGUAGUGGCUUACCAAGGCUUUGACGGGUAGCCGGCCUGAGAGGGUGACCGGCCACAUUGGGACUGAGAUACGGCCCAGACCCCUACGGGAGGCAGCAGUGGGGAAUAUUGCACAAUGGGCGGAAGCCUGAUGCAGCAACGCCGCGUGCGGGAUGACGGCCUUCGGGUUGUAAACCGCUUUCGCCUGUGACGAAGCGUGAGUGACGGUAAUGGGUAAAGAAGCACCGGCUAACUACGUG
This 467-nucleotide ribosomal RNA is filed under the name uncultured bacterium. RNAcentral's name for it is "partial 16S ribosomal RNA". It matches the Rfam family "Bacterial small subunit ribosomal RNA", at positions 28 to 507 of the family's 1533-position model. The record is from RNAcentral.